GCACCCGUAGCUCAGCUGGAUAGAGCGCUGCCCUCCGAAGGCAGAGGUCACAAGUUCGAAUCUUGUCGGGUGUACCA
This 77-nucleotide transfer RNA is filed under the name Rhodospirillaceae bacterium. RNAcentral describes it as "tRNA-Arg". It matches the Rfam family "tRNA". From Rfam's summary of the family: Transfer RNA (tRNA) molecules are approximately 80 nucleotides in length. Their secondary structure includes four short double-helical elements and three loops (D, anti-codon, and T loops). Further hydrogen bonds mediate the characteristic L-shaped molecular structure. tRNAs have two regions of fundamental functional importance: the anti-codon, which is responsible for specific mRNA codon recognition, and the 3' end, to which the tRNAs corresponding amino acid is attached (by aminoacyl-tRNA synthetases). tRNAs cope with the degeneracy of the genetic code in two manners: having more than one tRNA (with a specific anti-codon) for a particular amino acid; and 'wobble' base-pairing, i.e. permitting non-standard base-pairing at the 3rd anti-codon position. The record is from RNAcentral. Lineage: Bacteria; Pseudomonadati; Pseudomonadota; Alphaproteobacteria; Rhodospirillales; Rhodospirillaceae. RNAcentral also lists the same sequence under 1 other name.